AGCGAACGCUGGCGGCAGGCCUAACACAUGCAAGUCGAACGAACUCUUCGGAGUUAGUGGCGGACGGGUGAGUAACACGUGGGAACGUGCCUUUAGGUUCGGAAUAACUCAGGGAAACUUGUGCUAAUACCGAAUGUGCCCUUCGGGGGAAAGAUUUAUCGCCUUUAGAGCGGCCCGCGUCUGAUUAGCUAGUUGGUGAGAUAAAGGCUCACCAAGGCGACGAUCAGUAGCUGGUCUGAGAGGAUGAUCAGCCACAUUGGGACUGAGACACGGCCCAAACUCCUACGGGAGGCAGCAGUGGGGAAUCCUGCGCAAUGGGCCAAAACCUGACGCAGCCAUGCCGGGUUAAUGAUGAAGGUCUUUGGAAUGUAAAAUUCUUUCACCCGGGACGAUAAUGACGGUAACCGGAGAAGGAGCCCCGGCUAACUUCGUG
RNAcentral lists this ribosomal RNA (433 nucleotides) under uncultured bacterium. RNAcentral describes it as "partial 16S ribosomal RNA". It matches the Rfam family "Bacterial small subunit ribosomal RNA", at positions 29 to 507 of the family's 1533-position model. The record is from RNAcentral.